ACGGGCCGGUUCCUGGGCGGCAUUCAGCGAUGACAUUUUGAUCUCUCACGAAUACCGUUUUGCACCCUCGUACACAGCGAAGCUUUACGCAGAGCAUGUUUCGAUUGGACCAAGCGGCACUGUGUCGCACUACAUCGGGACUUGGAAAGUUACUUAAACCGAAUGAAGCUUAUUCUGGAUCUGGGCGGACUCAGUAAACGAGAGGUUCUUCACUGCAAAGACUCGUCUUGGGGAUAACAUAUUAGCAACGCGCCAGUAACAGAGCUAACUUUUGGUUUACUGGAAUGGGAAUAACAGCGUCAUUGAUCAUGAGCGAAUUAUCACCCGUCUAAUCAGAUCCUGGGGACCGUUAUCAACAGUUCGUAAACUAGAGGCGUUUGCACUCUGGAGUGGGAAUAUAGCCUACUUAUUGAUCAAACAUUUAUUAAGUGAAUGCAUGAGAGUAGAGAUAGUGGAUGAAAGAACCAAAGUCUCUGUGAUAAGACUUGUGCAUUGGACUCACAGACUGUUAAGAACUGAAGUUUUAACACACUGUUCACAAAAUCACAUCACAACGGAGUUGAACAGUAUUCAAGUUUGAGAUAUAAAUGUAAAGGAUUGGUCUUUUUUUUUUAGUCGCACGGGUCCUCGCACAAGACGCGCCAGAGACACUCCAGAAAAUUACGCGCACAACUGUGGCUGGACUGUGGAAGAGCAACAUGUACCCUGCGUGCUGGACAAACGCUCCCAGUGUCUCUCCAUCUGCCUCUCUGGCAAUGUUUGGGAAUUCGGGUAAAGCGAGAAAGAGACCCUGUUGGAUUGUAAUAUUGCUGUCGGUCAUCCUACAUUUGGUGUCAGCACAAGGUAUGAAAAGUUAAUUUUGUGUGUGUGUAUGUAUUUAUUUACAGCAUUCGCAGUAUUGCAUGUAUGAAAAUUAAGCUGUAUUCCAUGAAUAUGAAGUGUUUUAAUUAAUGAGCAGUAGAUGUAAUUUUGCAUACUACAAUAGCAAGAACCGAUAACUUUAUUCUGAAGGUCAGUUUUUUGUUUUGUGUGUAUUUGUGUGUUCUGGAUUGGCAUAUAUAUUUGCAGUUUUUAGCCAGCCAGAAAACUAACCAAUCAGAAAUUCCCUCUAAAUAUAAAUGAAAAAUAUUGCACAUUGAGAUUUUACGGCAGAUAAAGGAAAACAGUUCAUUGCUCACUUUCAAACCCCUCUUAAAAUCUGCUACCAGCUAAACGUCCGUUAAAGCAUACAGUUGUGAAAUAAGUAACCGUGCAUUCUGAAAUAAAAAAAGAAAACAUGUUAUAUAUGAAAAAAAA
Cyprinus carpio (common carp) is the source of this 1296-nucleotide long non-coding RNA. NCBI's taxonomy places the organism in Eukaryota, Metazoa, Chordata, Actinopteri, Cypriniformes, Cyprinidae. The record is from Ensembl.